UACGAAGGGUGCAAGCGUUACUCGGAAUUACUGGGCGUAAAGCGUGCGUAGGCGGUUUGUUAAGUCUGUCGUGAAAGCCCCGGGCUCAACUUGGGAAUGGCGAUGGAAACUGGCGAGCUAGAGUACGGUAGAGGAGAGUGGAAUUCCCGGUGUAGCAGUGAAAUGCGUAGAGAUCGGGAGGAACAUCAGUUGCGAAGGCGGCUCUCUGGACCAGUACUGACGCUGAGGCACGAAAGCGUGGGGAGCAAACAGG
RNAcentral lists this ribosomal RNA (253 nucleotides) under uncultured bacterium. RNAcentral's name for it is "partial 16S ribosomal RNA". It matches the Rfam family "Bacterial small subunit ribosomal RNA", at positions 524 to 776 of the family's 1533-position model. The record is from RNAcentral.